CCGCUGAGUGCCCAAAACACCAUCAUCAACAGUUUGUCACGAGGAACAUGGGGGGUGCUGCCACCGUGUGGGACGUCACUAUUUUUUUUUUUUUUCAUUUAGAAUUCAAUUUACAAAUAUUCAGGUCGUAUGAGACACCACUAAUGCCAGGGGGACUGUAAGUUGCUGCGUGUCACCUUCAGCUCGCAGAUCUCAGCGGAAGAUAGAUGACAGACCACCUGGUGGUGAUGACUGAUGGGUGCAUUGAAGGUCACGCAGGUCUGCUGUUGUCAAAGGAUUUAAAGUAACUGAUCUGGUGCAGAACAAACGGGAGCCUACAACUUUAGAGAGCAGCAGUCACCUCUCCUCAUCCGACUACUGUCCCUUCUCCUCAGCCCACCUGAUGCUCUCCGCGGCUGAUGUGAGACAAGAACUCGUAGCGGUCCUGGCUGCGGUGGCCACAGAUGUUGCACUCGAAGGGUUGGAGGAAGCCGUGGCAACCCAUGUGGAUGGUGAACAUGACAUGGUCCAGGAAGAGGAUGCGACAGUGCCGGCAGUGGAAGGAGCGCACAGGCCGACCAUCCCUGUCUAACACCUGCACAGUCUCCCUGGAAGAAAGGGGUAAGACAGGGCUCUUCUUUGCUAUUGUGGGGGGCGCAGGACAUGCUCUCUCCCACUCUGGGUCCAAGUCUUUGACCUGCCUGAGGCUGGAAGUGGGAUGGCUGCAGGGCAGUGCUGGGGUUUGGUAGUGGAGGUGGUGGUUGUUAGAGGUACUUGUUGGGGCUGUAGCCCGUGUGCUCUGCUCUUCUGCUGUGCUCUCUGUGUCUGUAGAGUCAGGGCAGCCGUUGGGUGAGGUGGUGUGGCUAUGGGCUGAGCGUUGGUCAUCCCGGCCUUCACCUGCCUCCCGCCCAGCCAGGCCAAGAGUCACUGCUGCCAUCCCACCUCCACAAUGUGCUCGGGGGCCCUGAGGAAUCACAUUGCUGUUGAUGGAGCCUAUAACUGUGCGUAGCUCUGACAGGAAGGCAGGAUGGAGCUGAGACAGAGCGGGCGGCUCAUGGUUCUCCCCUCUACCCCUGCUGCCUCGGAGAUGUGGACCAGCCAACCCAGCAGAGUCCCCAGCGGGCUGAGAGUUCAUAAGGUCCCCCUCCUUCUCAGAGCCAGAAGACAAUUCGUAAGGUGCUUCAGUACAUUCUACUGAAGAAGACUAUUUCCUCUGAGCUUCAGAGAAGGGGGCCGUUCUAAUGAAUAUCCGCUUCUAUCGCUUACUGUACCCUUGUUUCAUACAUUAUAUGUUACGGAACAACUGCAUCCAUCAAGUUCAAGAACUUCUUAGAUGUCCAGCCAGGGCAUCUCUCCGGCGACAAGCAUAGCUGCAAACGGGACAUUUAAAAGGCUUCUCUCCCGAAUGCAACUUGAUGUGGCGCAACAAGUUCCCCUUCUGGGUGAAGGAAGCUCCACACUGGUUACACUGGAACGGCCUCUCGCCUGGGAACACAUGGAUGGACAGAGGAUUUUAGAGCACGUUGGGUCCGAUGCAGAUCAUCCCGCACACCUCACACUGAAGUUUCCCAUUGGGCAGCCGGAUAGGUCCUGGUGAAGUAGCAUUUGGACUGGCCAUCUCAUUGUAAAUGCUCCCUCUGUCUCUUCCAGCCCCAGUGUACUCUGCACUCCCUUCUUCCAUGGGGUCCCCUCUGUCAUCCCUCCUGCUAUCGUCCCUCACAGCCUCUCUGAUCUCUGGCCGUGGAGCACCUGGGGACUCCUCAUCGCUGCACAGCUCAACCUUGAUGGAGUUUGCUGUGUAGACAGAGGUCGAGGGAAAAACACAUUUACUUUCAUACAUAAUGUUAAUGAAAACUUCUAUACAGACCAUGUGGCCACAAUGAAACAAAGGAAUAAUAACUGACCACUAUGGGAGCGGUGUGGUGAGGACUGCUGACUGUUUGGAGAUCUCGCUGAAGGGCCCUGCAACCCGCCAUAAAAAUCCUGUUCCAUUGAUGACUCUCCUCCAUUACCUGAAACACAAAUAUGCCCAUGUUAUUAAAGUCUGGAGACUGUACAUACAAAUGUAUAGUAGUUCCUCCUUUACGUAUAAACUUACCUUGUGCAUUUGAGCGUCCAUUGCAAUCCUCAGCAUUCAUUCUCUCACCAGAUGCCUGCAAGAAUAUGAUUUAAAAACAAUGUUACUUUUUCCCCAUUUGUAAUGAUCAAUUUUUUAUUCAAUUUUUCAUGUUAAACACAUAAUGAUCAUUUUUGAGAAGAUCUCACUUUCCUAAUCUUAGUCACA
This is a long non-coding RNA of Perca flavescens (yellow perch), 2263 nucleotides long. RefSeq lists it as uncharacterized. NCBI's taxonomy places the organism in Eukaryota, Metazoa, Chordata, Actinopteri, Perciformes, Percidae. The record is from RefSeq and is a predicted model, not a curated record. The transcript has 6 exons.